This 273-nucleotide ribosomal RNA is filed under the name uncultured prokaryote. RNAcentral describes it as "partial 16S ribosomal RNA". It matches the Rfam family "Bacterial small subunit ribosomal RNA", at positions 524 to 796 of the family's 1533-position model. The record is from RNAcentral.
UACGGAGGAUGCGAGCGUUAUCCGGAUUUAUUGGGUUUAAAGGGUGCGUAGGCGGAUCAAUAAGUCAGUGGUGAAAUUCUGCAGCUUAACUGUAGACUUGCCAUUGAUACUGUUGGUCUUGAGUAUGGUCAAGGUAGGCGGAAUGUGUAAUGUAGCGGUGAAAUGCUUAGAUAUUACACAGAACACCGAUUGCGAAGGCAGCUUGCUGGGCCAAUACUGACGCUGAUGCACGAAAGCGUGGGGAUCGAACAGGAUUAGAAACCCUAGUAGUCC